RNAcentral lists this ribosomal RNA (609 nucleotides) under Triticum aestivum (bread wheat). RNAcentral describes it as "partial small subunit ribosomal RNA". Lineage: Eukaryota; Viridiplantae; Streptophyta; Magnoliopsida; Poales; Poaceae. The record is from RNAcentral.
AUGGCAUUACCAAUCGUAGGCUUCACUGGUUCCUCCCACGGCAUCAGACGUGUCAUGCUGGAAUCUACGACAGCGAAGCACUCCUUGAAUGCCGAAGGAGCCACACUCCCUCUCCUUCACGACGGCCCAGUCCUGGUUCGACGCUCUGUGCCACCGCCUCGCCGCGUCCAUCCCGACUGUUAUCGCCUAGUGGACUACCGGCUCGUGCCCGAUUCCGCGUCCCGUCCGCUCAUUCCGACGGGAAGGCGUCUCUCCACUUCCAUUCGGCACUCGCCGGUGCCCAGCACCGCUGUUUUUGUGGCCGUGGAUAGCGCGGGCGACAACGUCGCUCACCACAUCGCCGCCCGCCUGCAACGCAACACGGCUGGGUUGGUCCUACUGCAGCCAUUCUUCGGUGGCGAGGCGCGGACCGCAUUGCGGGACCUAGAGGGUGACAUGUUGCAACCGCCAGGUCGAGCAGAGGAGCCGACAGCAUGGCCGCGCUCUCCGCCGCUCAUGGCCUCCGCAGUCACCGUCCCGCAGUCACCGUCCCGAGGCCUGUACCAUGCUUGCUACCCAGACUACUGCGAUGGAGACCUACAUCGAGAGGGAGGAGGGCCUUUUAUGUAG